UACAGAGGUCUCGAGCGUUAGGCGGAAUCACUGGGCUUAAAGCGUGUGUAGGCGGAUCGGUAAGUACCUUGUGAAAUCCCACAGCUUAACUGUGGAACUGCUUGGUAUACUGCCGGUCUUGAGCCAGCUAGGGGCUACCGGAACAAAUGGUGGAGCGGUGAAAUGCGUAGAUAUCAUUUGGAACGCCAAUGGUGAAAACAGGUAGCUGGGGCUGUGCUGACGCUGAGACACGAAAGCCAGGGGAGCAAACGGG
This 253-nucleotide ribosomal RNA is filed under the name uncultured bacterium. RNAcentral's name for it is "partial 16S ribosomal RNA". It matches the Rfam family "Bacterial small subunit ribosomal RNA", at positions 524 to 776 of the family's 1533-position model. The record is from RNAcentral.